This 418-nucleotide ribosomal RNA is filed under the name uncultured bacterium. RNAcentral's name for it is "partial 16S ribosomal RNA". It matches the Rfam family "Bacterial small subunit ribosomal RNA", at positions 355 to 765 of the family's 1533-position model. The record is from RNAcentral.
UAGGGAAUCUUCCACAAUGGACGCAAGUCUGAUGGAGCAACGCCGCGUGAGUGAAGAAGGCUUUCGGGUCGUAAAACUCUGUUAUUGAAGAAGAACGUGCGUGACAGUAACUGGUCAUGCAGUGACGGUAUUCAAUCAGAAAGUCACGGCUAACUACGUGCCAGCAGCCGCGGUAAUACGUAGGUGGCAAGCGUUGUCCGGAUUUAUUGGGCGUAAAGCGAGUGCAGGCGGUCUUUUAAGUCUGAUGUGAAAGCCUUCGGCUUAACCGAAGAAGGGCAUCGGAAACUGGGAGACUUGAGUGCAGAAGAGGAGAGUGGAACUCCAUGUGUAGCGGUGAAAUGCGUAGAUAUAUGGAAGAACACCAGUGGCGAAGGCGGCUCUCUGGUCUGUAACUGACGCUGAGGCUCGAAAGCGUGGG